UACUAUGCUCUUUAAGGAAUAUAGAUUCCAGA
RNAcentral lists this non-coding RNA (32 nucleotides) under Rattus norvegicus (Norway rat). The record is from RNAcentral. Lineage: Eukaryota; Metazoa; Chordata; Mammalia; Rodentia; Muridae.